GUAGCCUAGUGGUUAGAGUGUAGAGGAGGCAGGUAGCCUAGUGGUUAGAGUGUAGAGGCGGCAGGGUAGCCUAGUGGUUAGAGUGUAGAGGCGGCAGGGUAGCCUAGUGGUUAGAGUGUAGAGGUGGCAGGUAGCCUAGUGGUUAGAGUGUAGAGGUGGCAGGUAGCCUAGUGGUUAGAGUGUAGAGGUGGCAGGUAGCCUAGUGGUUAGAGUGUAGAGGUGGCAGGUAGCCUAGUGGUUAGAGUGUAGAGGAGGCAGGUAGCCUAGUGGUUAGAGGGUAGAGGUGGUAGGUAGCCUAGUGGUUAGAGUGGAGGGGCGGCAGGUAGCCUAGUGGUUAGAGGGUAGAGGUGGCAGGGUAGCCUAGUGGUUAGAGUGUAGAGGAGGCAGGUAGCCUAGUGGUUAGAGUGUAGAGGUGGCAGGUAGCCUAGUGGUUAGAGUGUAGAGGCGUCAGGGUAGCCUAGUGGUUAGAGUGUAGAG
Molecule: long non-coding RNA, 477 nt
Organism: Oncorhynchus tshawytscha (Chinook salmon)
Lineage: Eukaryota; Metazoa; Chordata; Actinopteri; Salmoniformes; Salmonidae
Source: Ensembl